UUAAGUACACCCCGCCAGUACGGCGAAAAUGCGGACGGCUCAUUAAAUCAGUUAUGGUUCCUUAAAUCGUACACCGAGGCGGCCGCGCCUCCCUACUUGGAUAACUGUGGCAAUUCUAGAGCUAAUACAUGCAACACACUCCGACCUCGUCUCGGCGAGGAACGAGCGCUUUUGUUAGCCUCCAAGACAGUCCGCGGUCCSCCCUCGAAAGGGGCGCGGGCCCGGCUGUYGUGGUGACUUGGACAACUUUGUCCGAUCGCACGCCCUUUCACGCGGCGGAUUAUCAAGUGUCUGCCCUAUCACACUGUCGAUGGUAGUCCUCUCCUACCAUGGUGCAACGGGUAACGGGGAAUCAGGGUUCGAUUCCGGAGAGGGACAUGAACACGGCUACCACACCAAGGAAGGCACAGGCGCCAAUUACCCACUCCCGACACGGGGAGGUAGUGACGAAAAAUAUCAAUGCGGUUUCCGCCGGAGAUCGCGUAAUUGGAAUGAGUGGA
RNAcentral lists this ribosomal RNA (500 nucleotides) under Arcinella cornuta. RNAcentral's name for it is "bacterial SSU rRNA". It matches the Rfam family "Eukaryotic small subunit ribosomal RNA", at positions 59 to 524 of the family's 1831-position model. Lineage: Eukaryota; Metazoa; Mollusca; Bivalvia; Venerida; Chamidae. The record is from RNAcentral.